RNAcentral lists this unclassified non-coding RNA (432 nucleotides) under Hevea brasiliensis (rubber tree). The record is from RNAcentral. Lineage: Eukaryota; Viridiplantae; Streptophyta; Magnoliopsida; Malpighiales; Euphorbiaceae.
AAAAAAAAAAUUCCUAUGCAGAAAUUUGGUUUUCCAAGGCAGUUGCUUGUGUACAUGUUGAUCAUGAAAGAUGAAAAGGAAAUACUGAGGGUUUUAAAUCUGAAUUUGAGCAGUGUCAAUAUGCAUGAUUAAGUAUAAUUAAAAUGAAUAAUUACACAACACUUUGCCUAGUGGUAGGUGCACCUCUGAACUUGGGAAGGUCCCAAGUUUGAGUUCAGGGUGAUUAGAAUGAACAAUUGAAGUCAGUAAGCUUUUGUGAACUGUUGUUUCGUACAUAUGAAACAUCUUUUAUUUAAGUAAAAGUGUAAAACCAACAACUGUUCUAUUAUAUUAAUUGUUGAUUUUGAAUUAUUUUUCCUUUUAAAAGUUUCCAAGUUUAUGUAAAUUAUGAAACUUCAAAUUGGUGCUCUUCUCAGUGGGGAAAUACUAUUU